UACGUAGGUGGCAAGCGUUGUCCGGAAUUACUGGGUGUAAAGGGAGCGUAGGCGGGUGCGCAAGUUGAAUGUUAAACCUAUGGGCUUAACCCAUAGUUGCGUUCAAAACUGCGCAUCUUGAGUGAAGUAGAGGCAGGCGGAAUUCCUAGUGUAGCGGUGAAAUGCGUAAAUAUUAGGAGGAACACCAGUGGCGAAGGCGGCCUGCUGGGCUUUAACUGACGCUGAUGCUCGAAAGCGUGGGUAGCAAACA
This 250-nucleotide ribosomal RNA is filed under the name uncultured bacterium. RNAcentral's name for it is "partial 16S ribosomal RNA". It matches the Rfam family "Bacterial small subunit ribosomal RNA", at positions 524 to 774 of the family's 1533-position model. The record is from RNAcentral.